CGUGUAGGCGGGCAAUCGAGUCAGAUGUAAAAGGCGACGGCUUAACCGUAGUAUGUCAUCUGAUACUGGUUGUCUUGAGUUCGAGAGAGGGUGGUGGAAUUCCCGGUGUAGCGGUGAAAUGCGUAGAUAUCGGGAAGAACACCAGAAGCGAAGGCGGCCACCUGGAUCGACGCUGACGCUGAGACGCGAAAGCGUGGGUAGCAAACA
This 207-nucleotide ribosomal RNA is filed under the name uncultured bacterium. Its description in RNAcentral is "partial 16S ribosomal RNA". It matches the Rfam family "Bacterial small subunit ribosomal RNA", at positions 568 to 774 of the family's 1533-position model. The record is from RNAcentral.